This 235-nucleotide ribosomal RNA is filed under the name uncultured Eubacteriales bacterium. RNAcentral describes it as "uncultured Clostridiales bacterium partial 16S ribosomal RNA". It matches the Rfam family "Bacterial small subunit ribosomal RNA", at positions 99 to 334 of the family's 1533-position model. The record is from RNAcentral. Lineage: Bacteria; Bacillati; Bacillota; Clostridia; Eubacteriales.
CGAACGGGUGAGUAGCGCGUGAGCAACCUGCCUAUGACAGUGGGAUAGCCUCGGGAAACCGGGAUUAAUACCGCAUAAAAUCGUAGAAACACAUGUUUUAACGGUCAAAGAUUUAUCGGUCAUAGAUGGGCUCGCGUCUGAUUAGCUAGUUGGUGAGAUAACAGCCCACCAAGGCGACGAUCAGUAGCCGGUCUAAGAGGAUGAACGGCCACAUUGGAACUGAGACACGGUCCAA